GACGAACGCUGGCGGCGUGCCUAAUACAUGCCAGUUGAGCGAUGAAGAUUGGUGCUUGCACCAAUUUGAAGAGCAGCGAACGGGUGAGUAACGCGUGGGGAAUCUGCCUUUGAGCGGGGGACAACAUUUGGAAACGAAUGCUAAUACCGCAUAAUAACUUUAAACAUAAGUUUUAAGUUUGAAAGAUGCAAUUGCAUCACUCAAAGAUGAUCCCGCGUUGUAUUAGCUCGUUGGUGAGGUAAAGGCUCACCAAGGCGAUGAUACAUAGCCGACCUGAGAGGGGGAGCGGCCACAUUGGGACUGAGACACGGCCCAAACUCCUACGGGAGGCAGCAGUAGGGAAUCUUCGGCAAUGGACGAAAGUCUGACCGAGCAACGCCGCGUGAGUGAAGAAGGUUGUCGGAUCGUAAAACUCUGUUGGUAGAGAAGAACGUUGGUGAGAGUGGAAAGCUCAUCAAGUGACGGUAACUACACAGAAAGGGACGGCUAACUACGUG
This 497-nucleotide ribosomal RNA is filed under the name uncultured bacterium. RNAcentral's name for it is "partial 16S ribosomal RNA". It matches the Rfam family "Bacterial small subunit ribosomal RNA", at positions 28 to 507 of the family's 1533-position model. The record is from RNAcentral.